AACGAACGCUGGCGGCGUGCCUAACACAUGCAAGUCGAACGAGAAAGGGGCUUCGGCUCCGAGUAAAGUGGCGCACGGGUGAGUAACACGUGGGUAACCUGCCUCUAAGAUUGGGAUAACUCGUCGAAAGAUGAGCUAAUACCGAAUAAGACCACAGUUCCCGCGGGAACAGGGGUCAAAGGUAGCCUCUGCUUGCAAGCUAUCACUUAGAGAUGGGCCUGCGCACCAUUAGCUAGUUGGUAGGGUAACGGCCUACCAAGGCAAAGAUGGUUAGCUGGUCUGAGAGGAUGAUCAGCCACACUGGAACGGAGACACGGUCCAGACUCCUACGGGAGGCAGCAGGGGGGAAUAUUGCGCAAUGGGCGAAAGCUUGACGCAGCAACGCCGCGUGAGUGAUGAAGGCCUUCGGGUCGUAAAGCUCUGUCGGGAGGAACGAAUGCUCCUGAGGUUAACAGCCUCGGGAGGUGACGGUACCUUCAAAGGAAGCACCGGCUAACUCUGUG
This 503-nucleotide ribosomal RNA is filed under the name uncultured bacterium. RNAcentral describes it as "partial 16S ribosomal RNA". It matches the Rfam family "Bacterial small subunit ribosomal RNA", at positions 29 to 507 of the family's 1533-position model. The record is from RNAcentral.